UGAGUUGCAAUGACCAACCUUUCUUCCUUUUCUCUAGGCUUACAACAAUGGAAAAGGCAUCAUUUCAUUUGAAGGGUGGAGCUAAGAAAGUGGUCAUAUCAGCUCCAUCAGCUGAUGCACCUAUGUUCAUUGUAGGAGUAAAUGAAAAGACUUACAAGCCUAGUAUGAACAUUGUUUCUAAUGCUAGCUGUACCACCAAUUGUCUUGCUCCUCUUGCCAAGGUUGUCCAUGAGAGAGUUUGGUAUUCUUGAAGGUCCUAUGAAACUGUGCAUGCAACUGCUGCAAUACAGAAGACUGUAGAUGGGCCCUCGAUGAAGGACUGG
Telopea speciosissima is the source of this 323-nucleotide long non-coding RNA. RefSeq lists it as uncharacterized. The transcript has 4 exons. Lineage: Eukaryota; Viridiplantae; Streptophyta; Magnoliopsida; Proteales; Proteaceae. The record is from RefSeq and is a predicted model, not a curated record.